GACGAACGCUGGCGGCGCGCCUAACACAUGCAAGUCGAACGAGCGAGAGAGAGCUUGCUUUCUCGAGCAAGUGGCGAACGGGUGAGUAACGCGUGAGGAACCUGCCUCAAAGAGGGGGACAACAGUUGGAAACGACUGCUAAUACCGCAUAAGCCCACGGGUCGGCAUCGACCAGAGGGAAAAGGAGCAAUCCGCUUUGAGAUGGCCUCGCGUCCGAUUAGCUAGUUGGUGAGGUAAUGGCCCACCAAGGCGACGAUCGGUAGCCGGACUGAGAGGUUGAACGGCCACAUUGGGACUGAGACACGGCCCAGACUCCUACGGGAGGCAGCAGUGGGGAAUAUUGCACAAUGGGGGAAACCCUGAUGCAGCGACGCCGCGUGGAGGAAGAAGGUCUUCGGAUUGUAAACUCCUGUUGUUGGGGAAGAUAAUGACGGUACCCAACAAGGAAGUGACGGCUA
This 458-nucleotide ribosomal RNA is filed under the name uncultured bacterium. RNAcentral's name for it is "bacterial SSU rRNA". It matches the Rfam family "Bacterial small subunit ribosomal RNA", at positions 28 to 499 of the family's 1533-position model. The record is from RNAcentral.